GAACAGGGUGGUUUUUAAUCAGUAAAAGUCUGACACUCCCUCUCAAGUAAUUGGAUGAUUUUCCCCCCUUAAAAAUGGUUAGGCAACUGGCUGCUGCACAACAUGUCGUAGGUUUGAUUCUCGCACGGAACGGCUUACCUAGCUGUUCGGGCAUCUGAGCGUAGUAAUAUAAUUAUAUUAUUCUUAUAAUUUAUAUAUUAUUUGAAAUCCUUGACAAAAUAUAAUAAAGUUUAAUUAUAUUUGGCAUGCUUUAGAACAGGGAUUUGGCAUUCUCUACUAUAUAAUUUACACACAUACACUCGAAGGGCUGGGUACCUGCACCACUACCUUUAUAUCUGCACACAUACCCAUAUGACAAAUAGGUGUUAUACAUGUUCCAUUACUACCCCGUAUAUAAGAUUAUGUAGGCAUCAGGUACACAGGGCCGUCUAGAAUCGGUAAAGAGUUAAAAUUCUAAUUCAAAUUCUAAAAUCAAAUUUUUCCUGAGACUCGUCGGAUUUCAAAUCUAUAGAUGACGUGAAAUAAAAGCCCGCAGCCCGACCGGCCACCAGCGGCAAUUUAACACAGCAUAGACAAUUUUGACAGUACUGCGCUGCUGACAAGUGACAGCAGCAGUCAAAACAGCUAAGUAAAUGACAGACAAUAAAAAUAAAAUAAACACGUUGAAAUCUUGAAAAUUCAUAAUAAAGGGAUAAUUCGGGUCGUUUGUAAUACUAUUUAGUGAAAAGUGCUGCUCUUAAAGAAAACAACAUGAACUGGGAAGAUGACAUACUGGACACAUCAAAUAUACAAUUUAUUGGUGAUUUUGAUGUCCAAGUGCAAGAAAUUUUGUCAUAUGUGAGACUGACUGCGGAAAGAGUACAUGGUCUGAAGCUCUUGUUUGAUGACUUAGAAUUUGCACUGCAGCAAUUGUCACCUGGUUGUCAGAUUGAACCGUUUGGCUCGGUGGUGACUGGGCUCGGGAUAAAGUCAAGUGAUGUGGACUGCUACGUGUCGCUGCCUCCCGGCGAGCUGCCCACUCCCCAACAUGUCGUCCGCGCCAGGCGGAUACUAGGCCGAUACAACACUAAGUUCACUAAGCUACUAGCCAUCACAAAUGCUAAAGUUCCCAUAGUCAAGUUCUUCCAUAUCCCUACUCAGUGUCAUUGUGACGUCAAUUUCAAAAGCCCUGCCGGAGUGCGCAAUAGCAAACUACUCGCUUUCCUACUGCACUGGGACAGACGAGCCCUUCCCUUAGCCAUUCUGAUCAAAUACUGGGCUAGGCUAAACAAUUUUAUAGGCACCAAUCGGAUGGGCAAUUAUGCAUUAAUGAUGAUGGUGGUAUUUUAUUUGCAACUGAAGAACAUUCUGCCCGCGGUGUAUCGGCUGCAAGCGAACGUGCCGCCCUACAUGGUGGACGGCUGGAACACCGCGUUCGAUGACAGUAUGCGUGGCGAGGGCACCAACACCGACUCGCUGUACGAGCUGAUGGGCGACUUCUUCAAGUGUUUCAGUACAUUCAACUUUGCUGACUUUGUCAUCUCACCAUAUUUAGGACGCGCGAUCCCUAAAAAAUGUUUUGAAAAUUUUGAUCUUCCAGAUGAGUUUCAUUUAUACAAGCAACAUGUUACUUUAGAUGUCCGUAAAAAGAUAAAUACAAAAGUCAAACUAUGCGUCCAAGACCCCUUCGACCACGCCAGGAACUGUACUGUUGGUGUCUACGAGAGGUUGGUCGACAAAAUAAUGCUUCACUUACAAUUUGCGGCGCAGAAAUUUAGUGAACAGCCAAGUCACAAUUUUCUAAAAGUUAUAUUGACGCAAGAUCCAAACAGCCGGCCAAUUAGCAAGGCGCUACCACCGCAUCUACACAAAAAUAAUAGAAUACAAAAAGCCAACCGGAAACAGAAGCAGAAAGGGCUGCGCACUGGCUUGUCGAUGCUCGCGAACAAUCGCUCGGCUAUCACUGUGCUGACGAAAGGAGACACAUCAGUAAAGUAAGUCGAUCAACGCGACUCGGUGUAACAUUGUCGAUACAACAGUACCUGCGCUACCGGCGUAGCCAAGUGAGAGAGACUGGACAGACUGUGCGCUACUUAAUGUAAUGUGUAACAUAUUUGUGCCUAUUCAGGCGUAAACACUAUCCAGCAUACUACUGUUUUAAGUACAAUAUUUUUAUUAGAAGAUAUAUAUUAUGUACUUAAAUAUUGAAAAAAGUAACUUGAAAAGAAAAGACUUCUAAGAUUGUUUAAAUAGGUACUUAAAUAUUUUACCUAAUUGUGCUAUUUGUAGGUAGGUAGGUAGAUGUAAUAUAAUAUGUAGUAUUUUUCCGAACCUGGAUGUAACAUUAUAAUGUAAAUGGAAGUACUCUGUGCUAAUGUUUAUUAUAAACAAUUAAACAUGAAAAAUAAGCUAAAACAUCUUAUCGCGAAUAUACAAUAUUACUGUUAGAGUAUCUGCUACGCAAUGUGUAUUUUAUUAAAUAUUAUUAUGACACACGACAGAGGCAGCAUAAAUCUACAAGUAUAUUAUAUGUUGUAACUGUUUCUCUCGUAGAGGCCUACUAAAGUUGAUUUUUAAAAUGUGAUUUAGUUAGGUAUGUUUUAUAAGUAUGUACUUAUUUUAUUGAAAAGUCCACAUAAUUACCAACUUCCAUGUACAUAGUAUUAUUAUAAUUUCGUAGAAUGUGUACAAAUAAUUUAUGUAGGUAAAUACUGUUUCAGAUUCAAGUGUAAAUAAAAUCCAGGUAUUUUGACAUUUUUGAUGUAAAAACAACAUAGGCCUUCCUUCUUUUCAAGUCUGUAAAAGUAAGUUACUUUGUUUGAUAUAGUAAUCUCUUCGUCCUUACAUUUUUGUUGGUUGUAUCAAAUGUGAAAUAAUAAAUAUAGGUAGAUUGGUACUUACAUAGUAUAUAAGCUGUAAUAAUGUAAACACAUUAUCUUGCCGGCGCUGUUUCAAGCCAGAGACUUAAUUUUCGAUUUAAGGUUUAAGAAAUUAAAGUAGACAAGAUGAUACGCGAACCAUUUUUGUGUAAACUACAACAUUUGCUCUUCAUAAAGUAUACAUAAUUACCACGACUUGUAGUUCAAGUCAUCACCAAGCAUGCAUCUCCAAGGUGUUGUCUAUAUAUCGUUAUACCUUGUAUUAGGUAGCCACUUUAGCCUUCCAACUUAGAAUUUAUUGUAACUGUAAGUAGGUGCUUAGUAAUACAAAUUGUCCUUAUAUUAAAUACCUCUCGUGAGCCAUUUAAAUUAAUUAUAUAUUAUUAUAUUUAACGGUUUAUUUACAUUGCUGGUCAACGAGGUAAGUCGACUAGUUUCAAGCCACGCUAGGGGCUCAUAGUCUAAGUGAGAGUUGAAAGUUUGCCGUUGUAUGUCGCGCAUUGUUACACAUGAAUAUGACUUAAUAUGAGCUCCUAUCCUGGCUUUAAACUAGUCGAGUACCUCGUCUAACAGUUACGUGAAUGAGCCGUAAAAUUAUUAGAAAUUGUAGCAAUUUCCUUACACAGGAACUUAAUGUUGAUCUCAGUGGUUUCAAGUCAAACAAGUUACGGUUCUUCCAUGUACUUAGUAGGUACUUAUAAUAAGCACACAGUGUAAAUAUACACCGAUCUGAUUUUUGAUGUUAAUCAGCUCAAAUAUUACAAUUAUGUAAAUGGAACUUACUUUGAUCUAACUAAUUACAAAUGUGAAAUAUACGAAAAUCAUAAACGA
Spodoptera frugiperda (fall armyworm) is the source of this 3689-nucleotide RNA transcript. RefSeq lists it as uncharacterized. The record is from RefSeq and is a predicted model, not a curated record. NCBI's taxonomy places the organism in Eukaryota, Metazoa, Arthropoda, Insecta, Lepidoptera, Noctuidae. The transcript is spliced from 4 exons.